UCCCGGGCCCUGGACGUUAGUCGUGGUCACAGACAUCACUUGGGGCUGCUGGUAGACGGCCAUGGCUACAGGAUACAAGAUACAAAGAUGAAGAAGAAAGAUGAGACUACCACAUCACUGGUGGCUAGGUCUGGGAAGCUAAAAUUAAUUAAAUAUGGAAUGGCUUAGAACAUUCUGCUUCAUGAAGGACCCCACCCACCCCACAAAUGCUCUGUUUGUCCAGAAGACGGCUACGGAGCAUCAGAAGCAGGACCACCAGUAACCCCCCACCCCUACCCCCGUACCCCCACAUUGAUUCAACACUCCUCCCCUCAUAACCACCCCACAAACAGCAAAUAUGUGUUGGCCUGACCAUUGUCUCACAACUAUUGUUCCCACAUAUGUUGCUCUUGUUGCCUUGGCAAUGUUGUUGUUCUUGUCUUUCACUCUUGCACAUUGUGUUUCUCUUUCUUCGCUGCACUAUGUCAAUCAAUGUACUCGAACCGGGACCAGGGAGAUUCAUUUCCUUCAUCCCAUGUCUAACGUGUGUCGCAAUGACAAUAAAGAACCUUGAGUCCUUGAGUCCUUCAAUAACCCAUUAUUGUAGACUGUACACAGUAGCAUUUGAAAAGUUUUAACAAGGUGUAAAGAAAUAAGAAAAUAGGUGUAUAACCUAAUGUUGGUCUACUUCCGCUAUUGUUUCUUUAAGAAAUCAGUGAAACUGCUUUCUUGUUUUAUUAGAUUAGAUUAGUUAAAUACAGAACUACAUGGGAAAGAACAACUUUGACAUUAUUUUCAUUUUUUAAAAGGAUUUGUUAUCCAAACUAUAAAAAAAAA
Molecule: long non-coding RNA, 816 nt
Organism: Cynoglossus semilaevis (tongue sole)
Lineage: Eukaryota; Metazoa; Chordata; Actinopteri; Pleuronectiformes; Cynoglossidae
Exons: 2
Source: RefSeq, a predicted model, not a curated record